CUAUUAUAUAGCGCCUUUCACUCUCUCUCUCUCUAAAUCUCCCUACUUAUUGUAUUCAAUGUUGUACGUCUUCUUCUUUCUGUUCUCCUCUCCUUCAUCCCACCAGGAGUUCAUGCGUAUAACGACAGGUCCACUGAUGUCCACAUUCACUGGACAGCCACACCGAUAGCCUGAUGAAGGUUUCAGUGCCAAAGGAGGAUCUGCGAGACAGAAGAUCCACGCCAUCCUGGCACCGGCAGCUUCAAGUGAAGACAGAAACCUUAAACAGGCCGCGUCCACCUCAAUGACGACACGGAGACUCUCGUCAAACAAUCCAUGGCGAGUGGACGUCGGCCGGCUCUCUGUACAUUACGUGUCUGUGACUGUGCAGAUGCCAAGUUAGAGAUCACACAAACAACGCUGGGCAUCUAUCUGUAUCAUUUGUGCAGCGGGCACCAGUCAGAAGAGGUGCCCACAGAUGUUGGCAUUGCACUUGGAGGCUCUACAAAACGUCCGCCGUGUCCGCAUACCUUUGGAUGUCUGAUGCUGUUUGCACUUAACUUAAACUCUCCUAAGGACCGGGGGCCUCAUGUCUAAACGUUAUGUACUCCCGCGUCCACACUCAAAUCACGACGUGUAAAACCUAAAUGUGGCAUAAAGCCGCGCACUUCUCCACCGUAGCUCAUACCCUGGCGUACUCAAGUUCUCUGCUUGGUUUUGGAGA
This is a long non-coding RNA of Polypterus senegalus (gray bichir), 703 nucleotides long. RefSeq lists it as uncharacterized. The record is from RefSeq and is a predicted model, not a curated record. The transcript is spliced from 3 exons. Lineage: Eukaryota; Metazoa; Chordata; Cladistia; Polypteriformes; Polypteridae.